UCGGAUUUUGGUAAACCAGUAGUCCUCCCUUUUGCUCCGCAGAGAAAUCAACCAGAUCCUUGCGGAGUCGGCGGCGUCCACCGAUCCGGUCUUUUCCGACGGACGCUGACCGGAAUUUUUGAAAAAAAAAAGGGGAUGAAAGGGAAUGGAUCCCCGGUGGUGAAGUUGGAACAACCGGAUCAAGGCAAACCGGCGGUUCCCCCUCCCUCAUCGGCGGCAUUAAGGAGUCGGUCGUCCUCGGUGAAGUCGGCGGCCCGUCGAUUGAGAUCUUCCGACGGCCAUCGGUCGGGAUUUGGAGGGGAGGAGCGCUGGUUUUGGGCUCCUCCUUCUCCGUCGAUCACCCAUCAAGCCGACGAACGGCUGGUUCGCCGGCGGUCGGGACAAUAGGCAAAGGCCGGCCACCGGUGGUUUUGAUUGGUUGGUGCCUCAUCGGAGGUGAAUCAGGGAAAAGUUUAACGCCGGCCGUGGAGGGUUUGGGGGUUUUUUUUGGCUAUGGUAGGGAAAAGGAUGAGAAGAGAGGAAGG
This 524-nucleotide long non-coding RNA is filed under the name Elaeis guineensis (African oil palm). RNAcentral describes it as "long non-coding RNA (EGUI_LNC012356)". The record is from RNAcentral. Lineage: Eukaryota; Viridiplantae; Streptophyta; Magnoliopsida; Arecales; Arecaceae.